Molecule: unclassified non-coding RNA, 284 nt
Filed under: Hevea brasiliensis (rubber tree)
Lineage: Eukaryota; Viridiplantae; Streptophyta; Magnoliopsida; Malpighiales; Euphorbiaceae
Source: RNAcentral
AUUCCUACAAUUGGAUUUAAUGUGGAGACUGUGGAAUACAAAAACAUCAGCUUCACCGUGUGGGAUGUUGGAGGUCAGGACAAGAUUCGACCGCUAUGGAGGCAUUACUUUCAGAACACCCAAGGCCUUAUCUUUGUAGUUGACAGUAAUGACCGCGACCGUGUUGUUGAAGCUAGGGAUGAGCUGCACAGGAUGCUUAAUGAGGAUGAGUUGAGAGAUGCAGUGCUGCUCGUGUUUGCUAACAAGCAAGAUCUUCCAAAUGCUAUGAAUGCUGCUGAGAUUAC